Molecule: ribosomal RNA, 483 nt
Filed under: uncultured bacterium
Lineage: Bacteria
Description: partial 16S ribosomal RNA
Rfam family: Bacterial small subunit ribosomal RNA
Source: RNAcentral
AUUGAACGCUGGCGGCAGGCCUAACACAUGCAAGUCGAGCGGAUGAAGGGAGCUUGCUCCUGGAUUCAGCGGCGGACGGGUGAGUAAUGCCUAGGAAUCUGCCUGGUAGUGGGGGAUAACGUCCGGAAACGGGCGCUAAUACCGCAUACGUCCUGAGGGAGAAAGUGGGGGAUCUUCGACCUCACGCUUUCAGAUUAGCCUAGGUCGGAUUAGCUAGUUGGUGGGGUAAAGGCCUACCAAGGCGACGAUCCGUAACUGGUCUGAGAGGAUGAUCAGUCACACUGGAACUGAGACACGGUCCAGACUCCUACGGGAGGCAGCAGUGGGGAAUAUUGGACAAUGGGCGAAAGCCUGAUCCAGCCAUGCCGCGUGUGUGAAGAAGGUCUUCGGAUUGUAAAGCACUUUAAGUUGGGAGGAAGGGCAGUAAGUUAAUACCUUGCUGUUUUGACGUUACCAACAGAAUAAGCACCGGCUAACUUCGUG